This 71-nucleotide transfer RNA is filed under the name Brachypodium distachyon (stiff brome). It matches the Rfam family "tRNA". From Rfam's summary of the family: Transfer RNA (tRNA) molecules are approximately 80 nucleotides in length. Lineage: Eukaryota; Viridiplantae; Streptophyta; Magnoliopsida; Poales; Poaceae. The record is from Rfam by way of RNAcentral.
GCGAGCGUAGUUCAAUGGUAAAACAUCUCCUUGCCAAGGAGAAGAUACGGGUUUGAUUCCCGCCGCUCGCC